UGCAUUCACUACUAUAAGUCGCUCUGGAUAAGAGCAUCUGCUAAAUGACUCAAA
Molecule: non-coding RNA, 54 nt
Organism: Salmo salar (Atlantic salmon)
Lineage: Eukaryota; Metazoa; Chordata; Actinopteri; Salmoniformes; Salmonidae
Source: Rfam